RNAcentral lists this ribosomal RNA (376 nucleotides) under uncultured bacterium. Its description in RNAcentral is "bacterial SSU rRNA". It matches the Rfam family "Bacterial small subunit ribosomal RNA", at positions 524 to 898 of the family's 1533-position model. The record is from RNAcentral.
AACGUAGGAGACGAGCGUUAUCCGGAUUUACUGGGCGUAAAGCGCGUGCAGGCGGCAUGGCAAGUUGGAUGUGAAAGCUCCCGGCUUAACUGGGAGAGGUCGUUCAAUACUGCCAGGCUUGAGAGUGGUAGAGGGAAGCGGAAUUCCGGGUGUAGUGGUGAAAUGCGUAGAUAUCCGGAGGAACACCAGUGGCGAAAGCGGCUUCCUGGCCCAUUUCUGACGCUCAGACGCGAAAGCUAGGGUAGCAAACGGGAUUAGAGACCCCGGUAGUCCUAGCCGUAAACGAUGUGAACUUGGCGUUGGCGGGUUUAAAUCCGUCAGUGCCGUAGCUAACGCGAUAAGUUCACCGCCUGGGGACUACGGCCGCAAGGUUAAA